AUCCAUUGGAAACGUCUUGGUAGCUCUGUGGUAGUAUUUUUGGAUUUUCGCUUUGCGGUUCUGUAACCACAUGGGGGUUGGCGUCUACUUUUAGCUCGAUUACCACCUUAAGAGCUUUUUGUGUGGAUUGUUGGUACGUCCAAUGACGACAUCCCGUACCUAAAAGUUAGGUGUAUUUACGUCACGUUAGUCGUGAACGUACCCUCUUCCGUGUGUUUUCUCUCUCUCUACGACUGAUAUCUUGCCGACCAACGAUACCUGGAUCACCGGUUACAUUCCGAGUCGACGUGCUAUCCUGCAACUGUCCGUUUAGUGUAGCGGAGUAACCACUACAACCAGCAAAGGAAGUAGAUGUCCGGUAGCCAGUCCUUACCUCCAGCUUGAUCGUCCUCACGGGCAAGGUCAGACCGUCUCUGUGUGUGUGUCCUAGUGUUGUCCUACAAUCUUAAUUAUAAUGAGGUUACGUUCCUCUAUUUAUUUAUAAAACAGUACUUACAUUUGACCUAUAAUUUUGUGUACCCAACGACUCGUUAAUUUAUGUUAUUAUUGUAAAUCUUUCCGGUUAACAUAACCACUACUAGCACUGUCACUUUUUGUCGCUAUAUGUAAACAAUACAUCUGUCAUACCUUGACACCCAACAAGUAAAAGUGUAAGGAGUACACCAAGGAGCACCCCAAAAUUUCCUUGUUGUAGAAUACCCGCUGUCAGGUGUGUUUUAGGGUACCCGUGUAAAGAAAAGGCCUUUUUAUUUACCGCCAGGUCCCUGUGCGUCAUUUACCUUUUUUUUGGUUUAUUUAUGAAAUUGGUUUAUAUAUAUAUUCAACAUCACUUGGUUGCGACCCAAACAAAAUUUCGCUGUACCGUCGUUCAUUUCCCUAACCUUCUUCCUUCCUCUUUGCACUUAAUUUUAAUUUUAAUGGCCGGAUUAUUCCAUUUGUGAAUACUAGGAUUUAUUUAUGAAUUAUUAAAAUUUACCCAAACGUAA
This is a long non-coding RNA of Photinus pyralis (common eastern firefly), 986 nucleotides long. RefSeq lists it as uncharacterized. The transcript has 2 exons. Lineage: Eukaryota; Metazoa; Arthropoda; Insecta; Coleoptera; Lampyridae. The record is from RefSeq and is a predicted model, not a curated record.